This is a long non-coding RNA of Ctenocephalides felis (cat flea), 133 nucleotides long. RefSeq lists it as uncharacterized. The transcript has 2 exons. The record is from RefSeq and is a predicted model, not a curated record. Lineage: Eukaryota; Metazoa; Arthropoda; Insecta; Siphonaptera; Pulicidae.
CACAGCAACAAUCACAAAAUUCGAUUUCAAAUCGAAAAAGACACUCUGCAGUAUUUACAAAAUUUUCAAAUCUAUUUGAGAUAAUACAAAAACCAGAUAAAAUGCAAAGAAAAUAUGCAAGUCAACCAAUAAU